AUUGAACGCUGGCGGUAGGCCUAACACAUGCAAGUCGGACGGUAGCACAGAGAGCUUGCUCUCGGGUGACGAGUGGCGGACGGGUGAGUAAUGUCUGGGGAUCUGCCCGAUAGAGGGGGAUAACCACUGGAAACGGUGGCUAAUACCGCAUAACGUCGCAAGACCAAAGAGGGGGACCUUCGGGCCUCUCACGAUCGGAUGAACCCAGAUGGGAUUAGCUAGUAGGCGGGGUAAUGGCCCACCUAGGCGACGAUCCCUAGCUGGUCUGAGAGGAUGACCAGCCACACUGGAACUGAGACACGGUCCAGACUCCUACGGGAGGCAGCAGUGGGGAAUAUUGCACAAUGGGCGCAAGCCUGAUGCAGCCAUGCCGCGUGUAUGAAGAAGGCCUUCGGGUUGUAAAGUACUUUCAGCGGGGAGGAAGGCGAUGUGGUUAAUAACCGCAUUGAUUGACGUUACCCGCAGAAGAAGCACCGGCUAACUCCGUGCCAGCCGCCGCAGUAA
RNAcentral lists this ribosomal RNA (504 nucleotides) under uncultured bacterium. RNAcentral describes it as "partial 16S ribosomal RNA". It matches the Rfam family "Bacterial small subunit ribosomal RNA", at positions 29 to 523 of the family's 1533-position model. The record is from RNAcentral.